This 1393-nucleotide ribosomal RNA is filed under the name Salmonella enterica. Its description in RNAcentral is "partial 23S ribosomal RNA". It matches the Rfam family "Bacterial large subunit ribosomal RNA", at positions 1273 to 2649 of the family's 2925-position model. Lineage: Bacteria; Pseudomonadati; Pseudomonadota; Gammaproteobacteria; Enterobacterales; Enterobacteriaceae. The record is from RNAcentral.
CUGGAGGUAUCAGAAGUGCGAAUGCUGACAUAAGUAACGAUAAAGCGGGUGAAAAGCCCGCUCGCCGGAAGACCAAGGGUUCCUGUCCAACGUUAAUCGGGGCAGGGUGAGUCGACCCCUAAGGCGAGGCCGAAAGGCGUAGUCGAUGGGAAACGGGUUAAUAUUCCCGUACUUGGUGUUACUGCGAAGGGGGGACGGAGAAGGCUAUGUUGGCCGGGCGACGGUUGUCCCGGUUUAAGCGUGUAGGUGUGUGUUCCAGGUAAAUCCGGUUCACUUUAACACUGAGGCGUGAUGACGAGGCACUACGGUGCUGAAGCAACAAAUGCCCUGCUUCCAGGAAAAGCCUCUAAGCAUCAGGUAACAUCAAAUCGUACCCCAAACCGACACAGGUGGUCAGGUAGAGAAUACCAAGGCGCUUGAGAGAACUCGGGUGAAGGAACUAGGCAAAAUGGUGCCGUAACUUCGGGAGAAGGCACGCUGACACGUAGGUGAAGUGAUUUACUCAUGGAGCUGAAGUCAGUCGAAGAUACCAGCUGGCUGCAACUGUUUAUUAAAAACACAGCACUGUGCAAACACGAAAGUGGACGUAUACGGUGUGACGCCUGCCCGGUGCCGGAAGGUUAAUUGAUGGGGUCAGCGCAAGCGAAGCUCCUGAUCGAAGCCCCGGUAAACGGCGGCCGUAACUAUAACGGUCCUAAGGUAGCGAAAUUCCUUGUCGGGUAAGUUCCGACCUGCACGAAUGGCGUAAUGAUGGCCAGGCUGUCUCCACCCGAGACUCAGUGAAAUUGAACUCGCUGUGAAGAUGCAGUGUACCCGCGGCAAGACGGAAAGACCCCGUGAACCUUUACUAUAGCUUGACACUGAACAUUGAGCCUUGAUGUGUAGGAUAGGUGGGAGGCUUUGAAGUGUGGACGCCAGUCUGCAUGGAGCCGGCCUUGAAAUACCACCCUUUAAUGUUUGAUGUUCUAACGUGGACCCGUGAUCCGGGUUGCGGACAGUGUCUGGUGGGUAGUUUGACUGGGGCGGUCUCCUCCUAAAGAGUAACGGAGGAGCACGAAGGUUGGCUAAUCCUGGUCGGACAUCAGGAGGUUAGUGCAAUGGCAUAAGCCAGCUUGACUGCGAGCGUGACGGCGCGAGCAGGUGCGAAAGCAGGUCAUAGUGAUCCGGUGGUUCUGAAUGGAAGGGCCAUCGCUCAACGGAUAAAAGGUACUCCGGGGAUAACAGGCUGAUACCGCCCAAGAGUUCAUAUCGACGGCGGUGUUUGGCACCUCGAUGUCGGCUCAUCACAUCCUGGGGCUGAAGUAGGUCCCAAGGGUAUGGCUGUUCGCCAUUUAAAGUGGUACGCGAGCUGGGUUUAGAACGUCGUGAGACAGUUCGGUCCCUAUCUGCCGUG